CCUACGGGAGGCAGCAGUGGGGAAUUUUGGACAAUGGGGGCAACCCUGAUCCAGCAAUGCCGCGUGUGUGAAGAAGGCCUUCGGGUUGUAAAGCACUUUUGUCAGGAACGAAACGGUGGGGGCUAAUACCUUCUGCUAAUGACGGUACCUGAAGAAUAAGCACCGGCUAACUACGUGCCAGCAGCCGCGGUAAUACGUAGGGUGCGAGCGUUAAUCGGAAUUACUGGGCGUAAAGCGUGCGCAGGCGGUUGUGCAAGACAGAUGUGAAAUCCCCGGGCUCAACCUGGGAAUGGCAUUUGUGACUGCACGGCUAGAGUGUGUCAGAGGGGGGUAGAAUUCCACGUGUAGCAGUGAAAUGCGUAGAUAUGUGGAGGAAUACCGAUGGCGAAGGCAGCCCCCUGGGAUAACACUGACGCUCAGGCACGAAAGCGUGGGGAGCAAACAGGAUUAGAUACCCUGGUAGUCCACGCCCUAAACGAUGUCUACUAGUUGUCGGGUCUUAAUUGACUUGGUAACGCGGCUAACGCGUGAAGUAGACCGCCUGGGGAGUACGGUCACAAGAUUAAAACUCAAAGGAAUUGACGG
Molecule: ribosomal RNA, 585 nt
Filed under: uncultured beta proteobacterium
Lineage: Bacteria; Pseudomonadati; Pseudomonadota; Betaproteobacteria
Description: bacterial SSU rRNA
Rfam family: Bacterial small subunit ribosomal RNA
Source: RNAcentral